AUGGCGAUGACUAAUCUUAUGAAAUCACUCGAAUAUUUUGAAAAUAUUCGGAGGCCUUUCGUUAUAUUACACCCGUCGCCUAUUUUGAUAGCUUCAGUUGGAUCUGGGUUGGCUUUGGCCCAAUACAUUAUCCUCUAAAUUCCCUGCAAUUGUUUCGAAACGUACACAAUUUUAGUGGCUGGUUAAGUUACCUGGUUGGUGAUUGUGAUCGUAGAAAAGAACGACGUCUGAUAAUUGACGAAGAUGCUUGAGCUUAAAUACGACCCUGUACACGGAUACGACUACUCUUAUGAUGCCAACAGGCCUUACAUUCCCGACUACAGAAUCCACAGACCUUACGAUUUUUAUUUCAAUUGGCCAUGGAGAUACCGUGUUUGGUUUCCUAACAGAGCCUACAGGCGAUUUCUAGAUAGGGAGCACCGCGUGAUUGAGAGAACUAAUUUAUAUGAUGUGAAGAUUUCAACUGAAGUAUACUGAGUCUAUUCAUGUGAUAAAAGUGCUUUAAAUGUGCUAACGAAUUUAAUUAUUUUCAACUCAAAUAUAACUAGUUAUUUGGUUUAUAAAUGAAAAUAUAUGUUAAUAUUAUUAAUUUCAAUAAAAUAUGGAAACAAUAAUAUUUUUCAUUAUUCUGCUCCAUUAUUUCACAAACCAGUAUCUCCACAUUGCAUUCUUGGCCACAUUGAAUUUUUUUUGUUACAAAUUCUGAGGUUGGAUGUAAGUGAAGUCGUUAAUUUCUGUUUGUCUCUAAAAUAUAGUACUUCUGUUUUUCACAUUCAAAUUUAGUCAUGUUCUCGUUUAAAGAAAUUGAUGUUCCUACAAAAAAUAUACACAUUUACUUAUUUCUAGUUUUUAUUCCAUUUUAUUCAUAAAAUUUUUAUAAUGAUAGUGAACUUUUGUAUAAUACUUCACACUGUAUAACACGAAAUAACAGACGUAUAAAUUUACAGUCUAACAGUUUCAUUGAAAUGAAUCGUAGAAAUAGUUGGUAUAUGGGCCAAACAAAUAACUAUGUGGGAACGCGAAUGCUGAAAACUGUGAUGUAUACGAACAAAAAGCCUUGUUCGAAAAAUAUUCUGAAAUUUUCGCUCCGAAAUUUUCUCUGAAUUAUUUCCGAUGAAUACAACUACAAUCCAUUAUUUUAGUGGAAAGUCAUUAAAGACCUAAUGAGAAUCACAUCAAAUCUUGGAUUCAUUUAAGAAUGCUUAUAAUCUGAAAUAUCGCAACUUGAGUUUCUUGGCAGCACACCAAAAAAUCUCCUAUAUCUAGUCACCGCGUGUUCAGAAUAUACACAAAACUGUGGUAUUUUUAUCUGAUAGUUAUCUACAUUCAACUCGGUCUUUCUACACAGAUAUGUUGAAAUUACAAUAUGACCUGCAAACCCCCUACAUACCCCAACGAAAUGUUAUUGAUUACGAACAUGUUCCCUACACCAAAUACUCUACAACGGAUAUUCCUAAUUACAACACGUACAGACCCUUAGAUCGCUAUGACAAGUGGCCAUCUUGGUACAAGGCCUACCUGCCUUACCCAGAAUUCAGGCAUUACCUGAAUAAUUUGCUGAUGAGGGAUUUUGGGAUAAGACGUCAUAAAUAUGUUCACACAUACUGGUAAGGCAAAUCCAAGGAAAUAUUCGUCAAGAUCAGAUAAAAAAAGAUGAAUGGUUGAAUUAUAUACUUACUAUAUUAUUUUCACAACCUUUUAAUUGAAUCAUAUUUAAUCACGCUGUAUCAUAUCGUUCCUGAUGUAUAGUAUACGGAAAUAUAUCUCUGAAUGAAUUACAAAUAGAAAAUUUUUGAAAUGUUAAUGUUAACUCAAAUAUAUAUUCACCUGUACUACGAUGAAAUAUUUAUUAACCCAACAACAUCACAUGAUAUUACUUGGGUACACACAAAAGACUACCCACCCUAACCUGUAUAGAUAUUCUCGACUUGAACAAUCAUCAUAUGUCAUGUUUCUUUGAACCGACAGACUGACUUGAAGUUCAUGAGUUGAUGCGGAAGACUCAACUAUACCGUGUUCUACGAAACAUAUCGUCAUGAGUGACAACAAACGAAUGAACACUGUGCUAAAAAAAGCUAUUUUUCAAUUCUACUGACCAUAAUAUGCACGUUUUUAUGUCUGACGUUUCGUCUACAUUCGCGGUGGACAUUAAGAAAGGUGAUGAGGCAAUGAAUGUAGUACUCUAGUUGUUCUCAAUGCGCAUAUCGCACAAAAGAAUAGUUUGCAUAUCUUGGUGGUGGGUAUGGAAAUGAAUAAUUUUCAAACAGUCAUUGAUAUUGAAAUGCACCACAUGUGAAAGGGUGGAUUGUGAUUUGAGUGGAAAGCCACUUAGAAUAUUCAAGAAAGUGCUGAUAGAACCGAUCGUUUUCGACAGAAACUUGGGAAUGAACUGGAAAGUGAACGUGAUUUUCUCGUGAAGUUUCUUAUCAAUGCUUUUUCCCUUAUCACGUUAUGUAUUAAUUUCUUACUCAAGCUACCUACUUUCAAUUCCAUUAUGAAUAAUAGGUACCUGGGUUGGAAAAAAUUCACUUCUGUGUGGAAGCAUUUUAUUUGAUUCAUAUAAGAUAGAAAUAUCAUCCAUGUAUGUAAUGUAAUCCACACAUUCCUCCAAAAAAUUCGGAGUAAUUUCAAGUUCAAUGUAAUUUUUAUAAAUUUUUCAAAAAUUACAGUCCUCUGCAUACGAAAUGAAUGUAUGUUUUUCGGAAUAUAGUUAUCGAAAUGAUAUAUCUACCGUAGCAUUUUGAAAAGUGAAAAUUCAAUUUACAUUACUACUUUUUUCCUAUUCAAUUCGAAAAUAGUUAUUCGGGAAUCAUGAGUGAAAAUUUUCUAUUUAUUUUCAAACUAGAAGAAAUUAGGACCCAUCUCUAGUUUUCCUCUCGGAGACUUUGAUUGUAUAAAGUACGAUCACAUUUCAAUUGGAAUCUGAAAUUUGAAGAGAACACUUUUAUUAUCGAAAAGUUCCAGUUUGAAAACUCUUAUCAGACAAUGGAAUUCAUUGAACCUUCGAUAAUCGGUAUUUUUAAGAGAAUAGUUGGAUUAUACUCAGUAGAAGUUCACUCUCCAUCACUGAAAAUCGAAUUUGGCCAGAUGCGGGUAUGAAAUAUUGUUAGCCAGGUAUCUGGCACUCGCCCAAUAGAUUUUUCACUACAUUAACGUUAUUUCUAGAAAACAUUUAUUACUUGAUAUCACAGCCAUGGCAACUCAUUGUGCUCAUUUUCUUUUUAGAACUGUAGAGUGAAAAUCAUGCUUGGCCUGCAAUACGAACCUCGAUAUGGUAUCAUCGAUUACGAAUAUUGGCCUUACUCAAAAUAUGUCCCUGUCGACAUUCCUAACUACAGAGUGGACAAACCUCUAGACUAUUAUGAUUCUUGGCCUGCGUAUUACCAGAUUUACGCUCCGAUUCCAGAAUUUAGGAGAUAUCUGAACAAUCUUCUACUGAGAGAUAUGAGGCUCAGGCAAAACGACUACAAACAUACAUAUUAUUGAAAGACACAUAAUUCCAUCAAAUGGUUACAAAUAUGUAAAAAAUGUAUUUAAGAGGAAUGGAAGUAAACAUUUUUGAAAUGAUUUCA
Molecule: long non-coding RNA, 3572 nt
Filed under: Leptinotarsa decemlineata (Colorado potato beetle)
Lineage: Eukaryota; Metazoa; Arthropoda; Insecta; Coleoptera; Chrysomelidae
Description: uncharacterized LOC111506984, transcript variant X2
Source: RNAcentral